GAUGACCUUGACAUUUCUUCCUGGUUUCUAUUAAGCAAACGCAAUAAUGCUUCAUUCUAUUCUAUAGGCCAUCUAUUUUUUAAUAUAUAAUAGUGUUUCACAUCAGAGUAAUGAGCCAAAAUGAGACAAGACUAAGUUGUAAUGAUGUAAAUGAGAAAAGAAUUUGAUGGUGGUAAUGACAGUUUAAUCAUUACAAGUCCAAGUCUGAGAUAAGGUUUACAAUUCAGAGGCUGCUCAGAGGGAGAUCUCAUAUUGCUUAAAUUAAAGUAGGACAUGGUUUAAGUUAGGUGUGGUCUUCAAACUUCCCAUGUGCUCACAUUAAACUUUGUCUUGCCUGGCCAUGAAAUGGAUGGAUAAAUAUUUUUAUACCACCACCAUACAUAAUUACCCUUCCACAUUACAAAAGACGAGCUCGUACAAAUCGGUGCCUUACCAUUAGUCUGCAAAACGUGUUGUCAGUUUUGCAGCAGAAUGGAGGGAAAGAGAGGAAUUGAGUGGUGGUCUUGUUGAGGAAAUUGUGUGUGGCUUUUUCCACCUCUUCCUGAGUCCUGUUUUCAC
RNAcentral lists this long non-coding RNA (558 nucleotides) under Bos taurus (domestic cattle). RNAcentral's name for it is "long non-coding RNA NONBTAT014932". Lineage: Eukaryota; Metazoa; Chordata; Mammalia; Artiodactyla; Bovidae. The record is from RNAcentral.